GGCUCCCUGCCGAGGGGCAGGCAGGGGGGAUGAGGACAGGUCUAUCGGGACGCAAGGCCGACCCACCCUCCUGAGAGGCCCUGCCCGCGGGGAAGGCAGAAAGGCGGCCCCGGGACCCGGUGGCUUUCUAGGGUGUUUCACUUCUGGGCCUGCGGUUCUGUGGCUGCGUAGGGGCGUUGGUGAGCAGGGGAUAUAAUGGAUGUCUGUGGUAAGAGGAGCUUAUUCCCGAGAGGAAAUGGUAAUCAGUAAUGAAGUUGCAACAAGAAUUCCAAGGGUAAUCAAGAGAGCAUUCAUGGGCUUGGAAUGACUGGGUCUUAAAUGAGGGCCAUUUAUUAAGUUUGAAAUGUCUUCAACACUUUAAUGAAUCUAAAAGAGUCUUGCAGAACUGAGACAACCAGGAAGCAUUUCAUUUCAUGCUCAGAUUUUUAACUGCUUCCUUCUUAGAAGAACAAAGAAAUCUCCCACAGACUGAGAGCUAACAGCCAAUAUACUGGAGCAAAGUGCAGUGUCUGCUCCCAUUUGCUUAAUUGUGGCUCAUGACAGCUUCCAAGAGAUCCCCUUUCCUCACCAGGAAGUUCUGGAGCACCACUCACUUAUUUAAAAAUGUUUCUCUAUUUGAGGCUGUGUCACAAAGAGGUGAUAGAACCUUUUUGUAUCCUUGAUUACCAUUGAGCCAUUAGGGAAAUCCCUACCAAACGGAACGAAACAAUGCAGAGCAGAAAUUUUCACGCAAUUUUUGGUUGAUAUUAUUGCACAGCCUGUUCAGUGACAACUGUGAGAUUAUUUGGAAUAAUAUUUUACUGUACUGUCUGUACAGUAAAAUAUAAUGCAAACAAUAGUCAUAGUCAUCCCUAGAUGACACCCAAGGUGUUAUAUCAGGCAGGUUCCCCAAAAUUACAGCAAGCAAGAUGCCGGCUUAUAUUCUCUUCUUGAAAGGAGGUCCCCUUGUUUCACUACUGCAUCAGUCCAGUGCUUCAAUGCUGUUUUUUAUCAUGCCAGAAUGUUACAUGUAACAUUUUAUUGUGCUUUACAUUCAAAAUACACCAUCAUUCUGGACUUGGUUAGGGUAUAAUAUCAAUUUUUACAACAAUUUAACACAUUUUGUCACAUAGAUCUAAACUAAAGAGCUGCUUCUUUUCUGUUUUCUGGCAUACUAACAUCUCUAAAAGUAAACAGCAUGUCCAUAGUUUGCUGUUCAUAACUAAACUAUAAUCAGUCUGUGAGAUUCAGGCAUUUAAAGCCAGUUUUGUCAUUUUCUUCAGUUUACUUGUUUAUACUGUAGCUCAUCAGUUAAGGCAAUUUCAGUCUGUGAUAGAGAUCAUUACUGAAUGUUAUUCUCUGGUGUUUCAUUGCCAAUCCUCUGUAUGACACACACCAACUAUGCUAUAACCUUUCUAAAGGAAACUUAAUUUUACAGUUCUGUAAACAUUUUUUAUUCUAAAAUAAUACUUCUUCAAUUAUUUUACCAGUUAUUAAAUUAUUUAAUUGUUAUUAAAUUAUUUUACUUAUUAUUUUUGAUAUAUUGGCUUUUGCAUUUACAUUUCCAAGUCUUAGGUAGUUUUUUUUUCUUUGUAGUUAUUCUUAGUUUGAAAGGCUCUACUAUUUUUAAUCAAAAUAAAGAAAAAUGAUGGGCAUUCCCCUAAUUGGAGAAAAUAUUGUACCAUAAUUGAAUAAACUCUUACAAUGCCUUGCCAGAGCACUGAUGCAGGGGUCAUUUACAUGACUGAUGCUGUCUCUCAAAGAUGCUGAGAGAUUCAUAGGCUUCAUUAGAUUCCAGGGAGGGCCUGUACCAGAGAUUCCCUACUUGAUUAGGAGAGAUGCAUUGUUCCAUCUGGCAAAAAGAGGCAGUGAUGUAAGUGAGAAUAAAGGGCAAGAACUUUACUCCGUUGAAGAAAAUAGACAAAAGGGUAAAUAUCUAGAUACAUCUGCCUUGUCAGUUCAACACAAAAGGGCAGGAGAACUGGAAACCUUCAAAUGAGUUUCUAUCGACCAAAGGAAUAGCAUAGUCUCAUUAAAAGGAGUGGCACGGGAAGAUGCAAAGCUGCCCAGGGGCUUCUAACUGUUCUAGUACUAUUUGUUCACCCUUUAUUUAACACCACCAUUAGAAAGCCUAAUGGACUGUUUAUAUCAGACUGUUAGACACAUGGCAAGAUCUUUAGUAAUUGGAGUGUGAUAUAUAGUAAUGGGUUAUUGUUUGCUUGGUGCUACCUACAUUCAGGCCAGUGCUGAAUAUUUAUUUACUGCAGAUUCCAGAUAUAAAGGCAGAGGUGAUAGAGGUGCCAGAGAAAAAUGCUAGGGUGAAAACAGGCUUUCCUGAGGCCCUGCAAGCUGAAACAUUAGCUGCUUGUUUUAUCUGGAUUUUUUUACACAGCAUGGUGGGUUAUUUGAUAAAAUCAGCUUGAGGCUAUGCUUAGAUCGUGUUUCCUCAGAACACUGUCUGGAAGGCUGUGCCAGACUGUAGUGUCAUUAAAUAUAUAUUACAAAUGCUCCAACAAAUUAGGUAAUUAAUUAAAAUACAUUUCUGUAGGAGAGGCCAUUUGAUAUUGCUAUUCUUCUCAUGGUAGAUUAAGUUUGAUGAUGCUGUAUUUAUGAUAUUCUUUCUGUGCCAUUAAAACCUAUUACAGGCUUUGGAGAAAGCAUAUUUGAAAGCAAGGGUUUUUGUCAGGUAUCAAAUACAUUUGUGAAGUCAAAAACACAUUAGCAAUGUUAAAUUUUCUUUCAUUUCUUCUAGAAAAUAAAUACUGAAUGUGUAGGACUGAAGAUAAAGCAAUAAAACUCUUACAGAGGAAUUGAAAAACUCCAACAAAACAACCAAGAACACUCUUCCCACUCCACAGUCCUGAUUUUUGUCAGACUAGCCUUUGUGCCUCUCUAGAGUGUGAGUACAUUGUAGGCUUAGCUGGGUUUUGUAUUUGCUGUAGCAACAUAAUGCAAAUAAACAAAGUAUGAAGGACAUCUAGCCCCAAGUGCUAGCCACAAUUAAAAACUCCCAAACUGUUGUCAAUGUUUGUUUUCUAACUUUUAUAUUGAAAUCAAGUAAUGGUGUACACACAGCAGAAAAAUUCCUGUAAGGAAUCCAGAGCACGUUCUUGAUGCCCAGCUCUGUGCUGGGGGGGCUGUGGGGCUGUGUCUGCAGGAGGAGGUUGGGCAAUUUCUUGUGCAGGGUGGGGAAACAGUUGUAUUCCUUUGGGAAAGACCAACGCAGGCUGCCAGCAGGGCUCCCUCGUGAGAAAGAAGACCAAACCCUGAGGAGCAGCCCCUA
This is a non-coding RNA of Taeniopygia guttata (zebra finch), 3262 nucleotides long. NCBI's taxonomy places the organism in Eukaryota, Metazoa, Chordata, Aves, Passeriformes, Estrildidae. The record is from RefSeq and is a predicted model, not a curated record.